AUUGAACGCUGGCGGCAGGCCUAACACAUGCAAGUCGAGCGGAAGCAGGGAGCUUGCCCCUGGAUUCAGCGUCGGACGGGUGAGUAAUGUCUAGGAGUCUGCCUGGUGGUGGGGGAUAACGUCCGGCAACGGGCGCUAAUACCGCACACGCCCUGAGCGAGAGAGAGGGGGAUCUUCUCACCUCACGCUAUCAGAUGAUCCUAGGUCGGAUUAGCUAGUUGGUGGGGUAAAGGCCUACCAAGGCGACGAUCCGUAACUGGUCUGAGAGGAUGAUCAGUCACACUGGAACUGAGACACGGUCCAGACUCCUACGGGAGGCAGCAGUGGGGAAUUUUGGACAAUGGGCGAAAGCCUGAUCCAGCCAUGCCGCGUGUGUGAAGAAGGUCUUCGGAUUGUAAAGCACUUUAAGUUGGGAGGAAGGGCAGUAAGUUAAUACCUUGCUGGUUUGACGUUACCAACAGAAUAAGCACCGGCUAACUUCGUG
This 484-nucleotide ribosomal RNA is filed under the name uncultured bacterium. RNAcentral's name for it is "partial 16S ribosomal RNA". It matches the Rfam family "Bacterial small subunit ribosomal RNA", at positions 30 to 507 of the family's 1533-position model. The record is from RNAcentral.